This is an RNA transcript of Syngnathus typhle (broad-nosed pipefish), 4477 nucleotides long. It is a transcript of the gene named serine/threonine kinase 24a (STE20 homolog, yeast), with no coding region annotated. Lineage: Eukaryota; Metazoa; Chordata; Actinopteri; Syngnathiformes; Syngnathidae. The transcript is spliced from 12 exons. The record is from RefSeq and is a predicted model, not a curated record.
UAUGCCCACAAAAUGAAAAUGACAUUAACAAAGAUGGCGCCGAGGGAGCUAGAAAAGUGCUGAGAGCAACAAACGAUACAACUACAUAACAGUGCAUGUUCGGAAACCAUUUGGGAAUAUUUUCAGGCCAGAAUUCCGCUUCAACUAAGGGAUGAUUUCGCCUAUAUUUCGACAGCUCACGCAGGACUCCCGAGACAGAAUUUAAAGCAAACUGGAACUGUUUGUCAACUAGCAGUUGAAGUAGCUUAGCGUCGCAAUCGUUAGCUAACUGCGGAAGGCAAGGGGGACGCGGUUCGAAGUACAGGGCGCCACAAGUCGAGCCCGAGCUUGUAAAUCAAACAACUUUUGCUUCCGACACCGUGACUAGCCUCGCCCGGACUGCACUGCGGACCCGUGUUGGGUAAAGCGACCACAUCGCCGAAGAGGCAAGCUGUUAAACGAGGUUGGAAAGCCGUCUUCGUAGCUGACCUGACGCAAUGGCUCACUCCCCGAUACAAAGUGGGCUUCCGGGGAUUCAGAACCUCAAAGCUGACCCAGAGGAGCUGUUCACCAAGCUGGAGAGGAUAGGCAAAGGUUCUUUUGGCGAGGUGUUUAAAGGCAUCGACAAUCGCACCCAGAAGGUGGUGGCCAUUAAAAUAAUUGACCUGGAAGAAGCGGAGGAUGAGAUUGAGGACAUCCAACAGGAAAUUACAGUUCUCAGCCAGUGCGACAGUCCUUUUAUCACCAAGUACUUUGGAUCCUAUCUCAAGGGGACAAAAUUAUGGAUUAUUAUGGAAUAUCUGGGCGGAGGGUCGGCCCUUGAUUUGUUGGAACCAGGCUCCUUGGAUGAGACUCAGAUUGCCACCAUUUUGAGAGAAAUCCUAAAGGGGCUCGAAUAUCUGCACUCUGAAAAGAAAAUUCACAGAGAUAUCAAAGCUGCCAACGUGUUGCUGUCGGAACAAGGCGAGGUGAAACUGGCCGACUUUGGCGUGGCGGGCCAGCUGACUGACACUCAGAUCAAAAGGAACACGUUCGUGGGGACUCCUUUCUGGAUGGCGCCUGAAGUCAUAAAACAGUCGUCAUAUGAUUCAAAGGCAGACAUCUGGUCGCUGGGCAUAACGGCGAUCGAGCUGGCGAAAGGAGAGCCGCCCCACUCGGAGCUCCAUCCCAUGAAGGUCUUGUUCCUCAUCCCAAAGAACAACCCACCGACGCUGGAGGGAAGUUACAGUAAACCACUGAAAGAGUUUGUGGAAGCCUGUUUGAAUAAAGAGCCUAGCUUUAGGCCAACCGCCAAAGAACUGCUGAAGCACAAGCUGAUCGUACGGCACGCCAAAAAGACAUCCUAUCUGACCGAGUUGAUCGACAGAUACAAGAGGUGGAAAGCGGAGCAGUCCCGAGACGAGUCCAGCUCCGGAGACUCCGACGAGGAGGCGCAAGGACAAGCGUCUGGAGGAAACACCCCCGCCAGUGAUGAUUGGAUCUUUAACACCAUCAGGGAGAAGGAACUGAAGAAGAUGCAGAAUGGGGCCGUGCAGCCUGCCGAGCUGGACAUUCAACCGACCUUACAAGAACAGGAGAGUCCAAAGAGGCCUAUGUCACAGAGCUUAUCCUCCAUCUUCUCUCCGUUAUUUUCUGAGUUGAGAGCCAAAGGAGAGACCAGCAAUGGCAAGCCGGAGGCUGCCGAGGCGCUGCAGAAAGCCAUUUUAGAAGCCGAAGACAUACAUCCGGGCGUGUGUGACUCGCUGGUGGCCGAACUGCUGCAGAGACUUCAGAGGAAGAGGAACUUGUAAAAAGAAUCGCAAUAUUGAAGAGGGGGAAAAAAAAUCACAGAUUUCUGCAAAUCAUUCAGCCCUAGUUAGGAUUUUCAAAUGCCAAAAGGUUUUCUGUGCCUCAGACCGCUGCCAGUCAUUGAGAGAAAAAAAAAAAGCACAAUUGAGCACCUUGGUGUGGACGCAUGGAUGAAGGCUUGCAAGCCGUCAUAGGAUUUGCGCUCCAUCACUCAUUAGCCUCCCAGCGCACACGCACACCACUAGAGGGUGCUCUCGUGGGCAGGAGAGUGGAUUUAAGCCAUCCUUCUCUCUUGAGCUCCUACUUUGGAGCUGUGCUAUGUGUGUGCUUGUGCGUGUUUUUUGGGGGAAAACUCAGGUAUCCUGCUUUUAAGGUCCUCUGGGAGGUCAAAUGAGCUCUACAGGAUGGUUGUAAAAACUUGUAAAUAAGUACAUUUCUACAGAUACAAGAACAAAAUAAUAAUGGUAAUGAUAAUAAUAAUAAUGAUGAUGUGCUUGUACAGAUGGCCAAACGCAGACUGUAGAUAAUAUUGGUUGUGAGAUAAAUGUGUUGAGAGUAGAACGGCCAUAUGUGAGAUUGCCUUCUGACUGUAUGUCACGCUUUGAUUUGUGUACAUUCAAAGUCCGUCAUUUCACACCACGUGACACCAAACAUCCUUUCUGGAUUAUUCUCACACACAAAUGCUGUCAUUUCAUUUAUUUUUUAUUUUAACCGUCAGACUUUGGAGUUUCUUUGUGGCUGAGUACAUCGCUGUCUUGUGUGUUUUGGUCAAUCGUUCACUUACGCCUAUGUGCAUUUCAACAAAGUGGAAUCCUGUAGACAGGUCCAUUUAAUUCAGUUUUACUAUAAUCUUCUAAAUUUCUGAGAUGCGCCUUUACUUGAGUCAGUGAAGGUCAGGGUUCUAAUCAAAUUUGUCGUCUUGGUGCCUAGCGGAAAACGCGUGAGAAUCCCAACCUUAGACUAAGAAAGAGGUGCGCUUGCAUUUGGAGUGCUGACUUUUACAGGAGGACAGAGGUUUGUGUUUGUAUAAGAAACGGCACUUUGCACGGGCUUGAUUGUUUCCCCGUUUCGUAGGCUACAAUGCGAUACUAAAGUCCAUCUCUUUGAGUUGUUUUCCUGCUUUGCCGAAUGACUGACUUGGAAUCUUUUCUCCCGUCGGAGUCCAGCGUGCUUGAUUUUUCGAAUUCCUCUGACUGCACUUUUGGGUAGCCAUACAACGCACAAAGGUAGUAACAGAAGACGCGCAGUACAUGUAGGCCAGUGGAAAGAAGACGUGAGAGCGUGCAGGCAGUGACGAGUAAGGAGGCAGGUGACUUGAGAUGAUGUCACAUGUGCAGUAAAUAAGAAAGUAGCUUGACGGGGGGUCCAAACAACAAACUAGCGGCAAAUGCGACCCAUUGUCUUUUUGUUUUAGUGUCUGAGGCUCAGACAAAAAAUAACAUUUUGAUUCAAUCCAAUGCUGUUAAAAAAAUUGUUUUCUCAAUAGAAACAAACAUUUAUGUACAUUUCCCAAAUAAUUUGUAUAUGUAUAUAUUUUGGUUUUAGAAGCAAAAGAAAUAUAUAUAUUGAACUUUCUUCUCAAUGUAAAGUUUGAUUUGUGAACAAACCACCUUAUUUCAGACGGCCCAUAUUGAUUCUGAAUGUGACGAUGUGUUCAGUGCAGGGGCGGCGCUAUCCUUGUGCUGUACAGGGCUGUGGGUCACCUUGAAAAAAGGCUGAAAAACAGUAACAGUUUUCCAAAAAGUUUAGAAUUAAUGAAUUGGUAUUUAGUGUGUUUAAUAAAGUAAAAAAAAAAAAUGCCUACAUUUCGCUCGAAUCCCUGGAAUUAAUUUUUUUUUCUGAAAUUUUGGACCCCACGGAUUAGCGCGUCAUAAACUAUCAGUGGUUGAGUACGUGUGACAGUGCAGCAGUAUGACACCCGGUGGUCGGUCCACUUCACGUAUGCGUUGUAGCACACGUUGAGCAGGACGACCGUCCGUGUUGAUUGUUGGCUUGACUUGAAUCAUUCUCAGAUGAUGUGACGUUGCAGUUUGGGGACAGAAUAGGAGCAGCUUUCAUAUGCUCAAAUCAAAAUCCCAUUGAGGAUACAAUGCUGGAUGCUCGGACUAAAAUAGUUGUUUUGCCGCAGUGUUUGUCGAUAAACUAAAUUAGGUCCUCAAAAUCAAAUAUUUACAGUUCACUGACUUGACUGGCUGUUCUUUUUUUUUUUUUCUCUGCUCCCCAGUAAAACGUGCCAUUUGAGAACACAUUUCAACUAAUUCAAUUAUGAUUUGCACCUUUUACAUGCUCAAAAUAGACUCAUUUUCAUGUGUAUUGUUUUUGCGUUGCACUUUGUCUGAGUUUUUAUUCGGUAUGCGGUACUUACCGAGGCUACCAAUAUUCUGUCGCGCUUACACCGCCGCUUUUAUUGUCAUUCCGCGUCCCAUUUCGUGUGUCAUGGCAAUAAAGCGUAGUGUGACGGCCAGGAUUAAUAAUGUCUUAGCACAACUAUAUUCUUCUUUCAAACUAUUUUUAUAACCCAGAGGAGCAGUAUUAUUUAAUAGCGCUAGCAACGUCUGGUGAUGUGUCUUAAAGAAUCGGUAAACACUGGAAAGCAAAUGUACAUUUUAUGUGAUGACUCCAAUAGACAUGUUUGUUCAUUCAAGGCAGUGCUGUUGGGUUGAUUGGACUUUGUCAAUUGAUUAUGACGGAAAUAAAAAUCUAGCACAGA